CUUCAUUCUGACCGUGUACGCUAAUGUAGAAACAAAAACUAUACCGGUUGAAGUCGCCAAACGCGAUCGGAGUUUUAUGUUACAUAACGAUUUUAUUGCAUUAUACAUAUGCCACGCUUUUGUCGAACUAAUCGUGCAUAGAUUUUUUUCACAGACACCUUCUCGGAAUAUGAGAAAUUAGGACCGAUCACUCGUCAUCCGAAGGCGCGAGAUUUUCUCCGGGGUCACGAUUUUUGGGGAAUUGAAAAACUCUGGUGUAUUUGUCGCGGAGGCCUUCUAUCCUCGGACCAUGGCCGCCCGCAUAACUACUGGAUUUCCGUCACGGCAGCGGGUGACAAUACGAACGCCGACGUUUCCGAGGAAUCUGCGCGAGUACUCGCCUAAUAAUUUUCACAUAUUGCGACGACAUUCAAGUCCCACGCUGGGCCGUCGCCAUAGCGACUCGAGAGACGUCGAAGGCAAUCGAUCGAAAGUUUGCCAGGGAAUCGACGCCAAUGAAUUUAAACGAAUUAGGGAACAUCGGAAGACUAUCAACCCUUAUUUACGAAUUACCCCUCUUUUCUGUUCCUUCAAAUUUCACUCACUCAAGUGCAUGGGGAGAAGCUGAAUUCACGAUACAUCGUUCGUUGUGGCCUAUCGUUUCGUUCCGAGAUUCGAAUCAAAUUAUGGAUAUAUUUUGUAUAAUUUUUUUUUGACAUCACAUCGUUACUUCAGUUUCGUAGCUUUCAUUCUUCCGAUCCGCGUCGCGCGUUACUUUAAGUUCAUGCGACCGUAUACGCAAUAUGGCGAGAUCGUGAGAAAAGGGAGAAGAUCAGGAAGGCAUGACGUUAAAUAAAACGCCCGGUGAUUUGGCCGGUUCACUGGUUGGAGCGAUUCCAGGUACAAUUAGGAAAGACCCCGCUGCUACCGUUAUGCUCAUUCGAAGAACUCCAGAUGGAUGCAUGGUUAACAAUUUUUGACAAAAAAUAAUUCGAUAUAUAUCACCGGCGCGCACGUGUCGUCGAAUCGCCACCAAUCGACAAAAAAAAACUUGGAUGAAAUUACCGUUCGAUCGAAAUCGGUGCGAAGAUCCGGAAAAAUUUUUUAACCGUCUUUGCUUUGACGAAUUUUCGUUUCGUCUUUAUCUCUAUGCAUUAUCACUUUGCCCACAAUACACGGUAUAUCUUUAAUGAAUAAAUGUAUGUAUACUUUUUGUAGAAAUACUACAGCCGCUCUUCGCAGCACUUUAUCUCGUCCAUUGAGGAAAUGGUUAA
Athalia rosae (coleseed sawfly) is the source of this 1253-nucleotide long non-coding RNA. RefSeq lists it as uncharacterized. The transcript has 3 exons. The record is from RefSeq and is a predicted model, not a curated record. Lineage: Eukaryota; Metazoa; Arthropoda; Insecta; Hymenoptera; Athaliidae.